UUAAACCAAAAAUGUUGAAUAUCCGGAGAUCUUUUGAAUGUAUAACUUGAUCAUAUAUGUUGUGUUAG
Bradysia coprophila is the source of this 68-nucleotide long non-coding RNA. The record is from RefSeq and is a predicted model, not a curated record. NCBI's taxonomy places the organism in Eukaryota, Metazoa, Arthropoda, Insecta, Diptera, Sciaridae.